Molecule: ribosomal RNA, 544 nt
Filed under: uncultured bacterium
Lineage: Bacteria
Description: partial 16S ribosomal RNA
Rfam family: Bacterial small subunit ribosomal RNA
Source: RNAcentral
UGGGGAAUUUUGGACAAUGGGCGCAAGCCUGAUCCAGCCAUGCCGCGUGCGGGAAGAAGGCCUUCGGGUUGUAAACCGCUUUUGUCAGGGAAGAAAUCUUCUGAGUUAAUACCUCGGGAGGAUGACGGUACCUGAAGAAUAAGCACCGGCUAACUACGUGCCAGCAGCCGCGGUAAUACGUAGGGUGCAAGCGUUAAUCGGAAUUACUGGGCGUAAAGCGUGCGCAAGGCGGUUUUGUAAGACAGAGGUGAAAUCCCCGGGCUCAACCUGGGAACUGCCUUUGUGACUGCAAGGCUUGAGUGCGGCAGAGGGGGAUGGAAUUCCGCGUGUAGCAGUGAAAUGCGUAGAUAUGCGGAGGAACACCGAUGGCGAAGGCAAAUCCCCUGGGCCUGCACUGACGCUCAUGCACGAAAGCGUGGGGAGCAAACAGGAUUAGAUACCCUGGUAGUCCACGCCCUAAAACGAUGUCAACUGGUUGUUGGGAAGGUUCCUUCUCAGUAACGUAGCUAACGCGUGAAGUUGACCGCCUGGGGAGUACGGCCGC